Molecule: small nuclear RNA, 119 nt
Filed under: Trichobilharzia regenti
Lineage: Eukaryota; Metazoa; Platyhelminthes; Trematoda; Strigeidida; Schistosomatidae
Description: U5 spliceosomal RNA
Rfam family: U5 spliceosomal RNA
About the family: U5 RNA is a component of both types of known spliceosome. The precise function of this molecule is unknown, though it is known that the 5' loop is required for splice site selection and p220 binding, and that both the 3' stem-loop and the Sm site are important for Sm protein binding and cap methylation.
Source: Rfam by way of RNAcentral
AAACUCUGCUGUCUGCUCACUUGCGGACAAAUCUUUUGCCUUUUACUAGAGAUUUCCGUGGGGAGGCACAGUGCAAUGAGUCUUGCUUCAUUUUUUUCAGCUCUGUCUUCGGACAGAGU